UGGGGAAUAUUGGACAAUGGGCGCAAGCCUGAUCCAGCAACGCCGCGUGGAGGAUGAAGGUCUUCGGAUCGUAAACUCCUGUCAGGUGGGACGAAGGUUUCAGGGCGAACAGUCCUGGAGUUUGACGGUACCACCAGAGGAAGCCCCGGCUAACUCCGUGCCAGCAGCCGCGGUAAUACGGAGGGGGCGAGCGUUAUUCGGAAUUAUUGGGCGUAAAGGGCGCGUAGGCGGCCGGAUAAGUCAAAGGUGAAAUCCCUCGGCUCAACUGAGGAACUGCCUUUGAAACUGUUUGGCUUGAGGCCGGGAGGGGGUAGCGGAAUUCCCAAUGUAGCGGUGAAAUGCGUAGAUAUUGGGAGGAACACCAGUGGCGAAGGCGGCUACCUGGACCGGUUCUGACGCUGAUGCGCGAAAGCGUGGGUAGCAAACAG
RNAcentral lists this ribosomal RNA (428 nucleotides) under uncultured bacterium. Its description in RNAcentral is "bacterial SSU rRNA". It matches the Rfam family "Bacterial small subunit ribosomal RNA", at positions 355 to 775 of the family's 1533-position model. The record is from RNAcentral.